This 912-nucleotide ribosomal RNA is filed under the name Triticum aestivum (bread wheat). Its description in RNAcentral is "partial small subunit ribosomal RNA". The record is from RNAcentral. Lineage: Eukaryota; Viridiplantae; Streptophyta; Magnoliopsida; Poales; Poaceae.
AUGAAACAAGUUGCUGCUGCUGAGGGUUCUCCAAGUGUACCAGGAAAAAGUCGUUCAAAAGAUAAAAGUGCAGUGAAAAAGGUGAAAUUCGCCAAGACCAGAUCCUCUCCACGACUAAGGGAAACAUUGUCGCAGACAACGUCAUCGGAGACAACAGAAGUUAUCCAUCUUGAUGAAUCUCCCACGGCGACAUCUCUGUCUGAAAAAGCAGCAGCAUCUAGCGAGGGUGCAUCUGAUGCUGUUGCGGUGACAUCGGCUGGUGUUUCUGAUGACGCUGUUUUUCAGCUAGCUGCAGCGGCAACUGUUACUGCUGCUGUUGAAGAUAUCGCCAGCGUGGCUGUAGCUAUUGAAUGCGAAGAUGAAGUCGUCCCUAAUAUAGCGCAUGAUGGAAGUGAAGCUGAAAAAGUUGUGGGAAGUACUAGAGACAAUAUGCCUACUGAUACGGCUACAGCUGGAGGUGAAAAGAAUGAUGCCGAUAAUCCUGUUGUCACAGCUGUAGCUGACCCUGCAUUGGAGUUGAGCACUCCUGGAGCUGGAAACUACGAUGGUAAUUUUACGCCACCCAGCUGCUCUCUUGGGAUGGAUGCCAUCUUUGGUGUGAGUCCUCAAGUGCCACCAUCUACUGAAGCAACUGCAACGGCUCAAGCUGCACCAACGUUGGCUCAAGUACCACCUGCAGCACCAGAAGCACCUGCGGCGGUGCCAUCUGUUCAAGUACCACCUGCAGCACCAGAAGCACCUGUGGCGGCGCCCUCUGCUCAAGUACCACCUGCAGAACCAGCUACUGGCCCUGACGCCGUUCUAGGGCUCGCAGCUCCUGUUGAUGCUGACUCGAAGGGCAAGGCAAUGAUGAAAGUUACCAAGGCUCAACCGGUUGCUUGGGCUCCGCCACCCAACAACUCUGGUAAGUGA